This 72-nucleotide transfer RNA is filed under the name Rickettsiales bacterium. Its description in RNAcentral is "tRNA-Phe". It matches the Rfam family "tRNA". From Rfam's summary of the family: Transfer RNA (tRNA) molecules are approximately 80 nucleotides in length. The record is from RNAcentral. Lineage: Bacteria; Pseudomonadati; Pseudomonadota; Alphaproteobacteria; Rickettsiales.
GCUUCGAUAGCUUAAAAGGUAAAGCACAGAAUUGAAGAUUCUGGGUAGUUGGUUCGAUUCCAGCUCGAGGCA